Molecule: long non-coding RNA, 232 nt
Organism: Stomoxys calcitrans (stable fly)
Lineage: Eukaryota; Metazoa; Arthropoda; Insecta; Diptera; Muscidae
Exons: 2
Source: RefSeq, a predicted model, not a curated record
GCCGGUUCAUAAAUCUUCUCGAAAAAACAAUGACAAAAUUUCAAAUCUAGUAAAUGAUGCUAAUUAGCGACAUAAGCUGAUCCAUUUAUGAAGACAAUUCUUGAUGUUAUUGCCGAACGCAACCGACAUCCGGCGUUUGAACACUGCAAAGAUUUCUCUUUUUAUAAAAGUUUUUUUCUUCACUAAAUAUAUAUUUUAAAGAAAUAAAUAAAUGAACGCAUAUAAGUUAAAA